GCGUCCAUGCCUCCAGUUCUGAGAGACUUUCACCCUUUCCUUCACUGGAAUGCCAGGUGCUAGGUCGGUGCCGAGCUGGGUGAAGCCGGAAUUGAGGCACCCGCGGGCUAUGCGCUUCCAGAGGAGAUCGCGGCUACUGAGGAAGCGCAGGCGGCGGCAGACCUGGCCCAGGCGGCCCAAGGCCUGCACGUCCAGGAGCCUGGAGUACUGACAACACAGGAGGAUCCUGGUCCAAAAUGGCAAAGUAGCCCUCCACAGACAGUGGAGCAGGAAAAUAUGAGUACAGUGUUGUGUUAUUCUUUCUUACAGUAUUUUCCACUCUACAGAAGCCUGAAAUGCUUAGGGAAACUUCUGCCUCAGAAUUAAAAAAUAUAUAUAAAUUAUGAAAAGUAAGUCAUCUACCUAGAAUUCUUUGUACAGGCAUCAUUUACCAGCCACAAACUACAGGUCCUUUUAUAGAGUAGAGUUGUAAAAUAAAUUUCAGCAUUUAAUGAGGUUACCAUAGCAGACAGGCCUUUUAGACACUUACUUGCAUCCUGUCCCAGAAGGUCAUCUCAUCUGUUUAAUCUCAAGCACUCAAAUAUUCAUUUAUCUAAAUCACCAGCUCUGGAGGCCUUGUAUUUGAGAGGUUCCAAAGUGCCAGCUGAGGAGCUGUCUGGUCCACUUACACCGAGUUUCAAGGCACCCUGGAAGUCAAGGAGAUUCUAAAGGAUCAGAAGACAGCAAAUAUUUUAUCAACAUUUAUAAUGAGUGAAUCAGGUGGCUGGAGUAAUUAAAAAUUUCACCACCUCAGAUGAAGUUCAGGUAAAAUAACAGCACAUCCGGUACAGGACUUAGCGGCCAAUUGAAAGGGAGGUAAUAUAACAAAUGUUACUUAAAAGGUUAUGGAUAAUUGAUGUGAAUUCUGUGUCUUUUUGAUGAUGUUAAUCUUAAAUGUGUAAUUAUAAUUAGCUCCUUUGUAAUAGACUUUGGCAUUGCCUGCAACAUUAAACUUAUUAAAAACUGAGUGACUCCUCUGUCGUAAAUUGUUAUUGUAAAGAGAGGUUUAUUAUCAAGUUGGUCUUUCUCCAGUGGGAUUCCACAGAGACAGCGUAUGGAUCCUACAUUAUUUGAUGUUUUUAUUACUGACCUGAAAAAAAAAUCUGAAAUCAUUAUUAGCAAAGUUUUUAGAAGGCAUAAAGCCUCAGGGAAGAGGCCAAGGAUGCUUCUGGCUGCGUAACCUUAUGUUAAGUUUAGGCAUAAUCAAAUAAUACAUAUUUCAAUCAAGUCAAAUGUAAAGUCUCACAUCUAGGAACAAAGAAUGUAGGUCACACUGAAAGGAUGUAACUCUAUCCUGCAAAGCUGCAAUUCCGCAAAGACUUCAUUAAGAUGAAUAAUCAUCUAAAUGUGAUCUCCUUCUGCAGUGCUGUGACCAAAGGGCUGGGAAACAAACAAGAGCCAGGAGGUUGUUUUACCUCUGGUUUUGACUCUGUUGUGACGGCUUUGGAAAUAAUUUGUCCAGCCAACAUUUCAAGAAGGACGUUGAAAAACUAGUGGGUUUUCAAAGAAGAGGAGUAAGAAUGAUUGCAGGACUGUCAAACAUGUUUUAUAGUGAGAACCAAAGUGCUCAGUCUGUUUAGCUUUCCGAAGAGGUUAAGGUGUGAGGGGAUCUUACCUUAUGGGCACCGAAACAGGAAAUAAAAUCUGGUGAUACCAGGAUCUUCAGUUUAGCAGACAAAGUGAUAAGGUCACUUGACAGAAGGUGAUGGGAAACAUUUAUAAAUAUAUUUUUGUAGGGAACCUAUUUAAAACAGUAUCAGAUUUUUCCCCCCUUAAGCGAGACUGUCUAGACUACAACUAAAACUUUAAGUCAGGAAUUGAUCUAGCAACUCCCAACUCAGUAUUUCAGACCAGACAGUCAGAGGGGCCCCUACUCAUUUUAGGCUCUGUUAAUAUGCAAGUGCUUCAUCUGCCGUGUCUGAUAUCUCCUUAUUAACAUCCUUAUUAACACUAUGGCACCCUUAUUCCAAUGUACAGGAGCCUUGUGUGUGCCUGAGUCCUUCACCAAGGUGCAUGUUGGAAGGAAACCAUUCAAAGUGCCACGUGCAAUGCAGCAUAUGGCAACAGCAGAACCAAAAUAUUGAGAAGGACAUUCACAGAAGUAGGGUCUGACUUAGCACUCCCCUGUUUGUGACCCAAGAUACAACUGACUAUGAAAGAUUUAGCUAAGAUGCAACAUGUUUACAAGCAGUGGUCAUACAGAAGGUCAAAUACCAUCCAAACAGGUGUCACAAUGUUAUGAAGAAACCAAUGAUAUGUUGCUCUUAAAAGUAACAUUGUUUUGUAGUGUGAAUAAUUGCCUUACAACAAUAAUUUACCCCAAAUGCUAUGAUCUGUUACUUUCUUUCUCUGCAAGAGGAACAGACAUACAAGUCCAUGCACUUCUCAGGCAUGGUUUCAGCUGCUGUGACUGCUGUGGAGCUGUGGGCGCUGCACAGGCUGAGAUGGCCCUUGUCUUCUCAGCAAUGCUGAAUGAAGUGCAAAGGUAGCUGUCUGCAGGAGCAAGAAGCAAAGAAGGUUUGGAAGCAUUUCUAAAACUGUACGUGUAACAUGAUUAUUUCCAUACAAUGGUCAUACUCUAAUAAUGAAGUCGGUGCAGGUGCCCAGUGCAGGACAAGUCAAUAAAUAACACAGCCUUCACAAAUCUUACAAAGAUUCCAGUCCUUUCAUGGCUCGUGACCUCCCUGAACCUCUAGAAAAUAGAGUGUGGUUCUGUGCUGAAGCAGCAGAUCAUUCCAGCAUCAUAGCUUGCAGGAUUUGUAAACUGAAAAUGAGGGCUGACACCUGUAAAGCUUAUGCUUCAACAGUGCAAGUCAAUGAAAUCCAGCUUGGAAGAAAUUCCAUUUCAAUACCUGCCUGUCUUUUCUUCCUUUUUUCUUUUUUCUUUUCCUGUCUUCAAGGAGUUUUAUUCUUCUUUGCAGUGCCCUCAAAUACACCUUUCCAGCUAAAGACACAAUCAUGUGGACAGCUCUUUGUUUUGUUUUUCCUUCCAACCAAUGCUUUUGUGUAUUUCUGAAACUUAAGACACCUCCUCUGCUACUACAGUACUUAUCUGUAACACCAUCGCUUUGAGGGAUUAAAGCAGGUUACUUGUUACACACUUAGAUCAAGAGUUAUCUGAGUAGAAAGUCUAUCCCGUUCAGGUUGGCGGAAUCUGUUUUUGAUCUUGAGUUGUUUUGAUUUUCUCUGAGAGCAAGUAACAUGUUAUUUUAACUUCUGAAUAAGGUGUGCUACCUGACUGUGUCUCUUCUGUUUGGCAGAAAGGAUUAGAAACCUCCACGGAACUUGCACUCUAUUAAAGCAGAGUGCUCGCCAUUGAGAACCAAGGAGCUGAAUUGUUUUCAGAUUAUAUGUGUGUGUGUGUCUUUCCCACAUCAAAGACUUUGAUGGAAGCUGUUCACGCUAUUGUCAGGAAUGCAGGGAUUGGCACAAAGGUGAUUAGCAGAGUUGCUUUUCUGCAGUAGAAGCACAAAAAAAUAUCAAAGGAUUAAAGAGGAUAAAAUUAAAACGUUAUGCUGAAUUUAAGAGUGAAUUUUCUCCUUUUUUCCCCCCAGUUUAUACGUAGUGGUUUGGUUUUACCUAUAAAAGUGCUGCCAGAAGAAAUCAGAACUAGAAACUAUUUGGUAUGAGUUCUGCAAAAAGACGAGGAAAAAUCUCCCCUUAAAAAUAAUCCCACCAGGCCCUAUUCUGUGUAGUUCCAAACCACAGCUACAAGGAGCUCUUAGUGAGAGCGAAGGGCACGCAGCCAGCAGCCAUCCCUGCGAGGUACUUAGCAGCCGCAGGAUCGGGACCUUUAUUCAUACCCAUGCUGAAAAUUAUGGAAACAAACAAUUCCAUAAAUCAGUUUGUCAGCAGUGGUGCUGUUUGCUUACUUUUCUCACUACACGCUGCUGACAAAGAUACUAAACCAAGGGGGUCACUCUCAUUAUCCACUUACC
This 3977-nucleotide long non-coding RNA is filed under the name Gallus gallus (chicken). The record is from RNAcentral. Lineage: Eukaryota; Metazoa; Chordata; Aves; Galliformes; Phasianidae.